RNAcentral lists this non-coding RNA (29 nucleotides) under Cricetulus griseus (Chinese hamster). The record is from RNAcentral. Lineage: Eukaryota; Metazoa; Chordata; Mammalia; Rodentia; Cricetidae.
AGACCUACGAUUACCUGUUCAAGCUGCUG